ACCCUACGGGGCGCAGCAGUGGGGAAUAUUGCACAAUGGGGGGAACCCUGAUGCAGCGACGCCGCGUGGGCGAUGGAGUAUUUCGGUAUGUAAAGCCCUAUCGGCAGGGAAGAAGCUGACAGUACCUGACUAAGAAGCCCCGGCUAACUACGUGCCAGCAGCCGCGGUAAUACGUAGGGGGCAAGCGUUAUCCGGAUUCACUGGGCGUAAAGGGAGCGCAGGCGGCACGGCAAGCCUGGGGUGAGAACCCGGGGCCCAACCCCGGGAAGGCAUUGGGAACUGCCGGCCU
This 289-nucleotide ribosomal RNA is filed under the name uncultured bacterium. RNAcentral describes it as "partial 16S ribosomal RNA". It matches the Rfam family "Bacterial small subunit ribosomal RNA", at positions 335 to 642 of the family's 1533-position model. The record is from RNAcentral.